This 252-nucleotide unclassified non-coding RNA is filed under the name uncultured fungus. RNAcentral describes it as "sequence contains ITS2". The record is from RNAcentral. Lineage: Eukaryota; Fungi.
AACGCACAUUGCGCCCGCCAGCACUCUGGCGGGCAUGCCUGUUCGAGCGUCAUUUCAACCCUCGAGCCCCCCCGGGGGCCCGGCGUUGGGGGCCGGCCCUGGCCGCCCCCGAAAUGCAGUGGCGACCUCGCCGCGGCCUCCCCUGCGUAGUAGCACACACCUCGCACCGGAGCGCGGAGACGGUCACGCCGUGAAACGCACCAGCCUUCAAGAGUUGACCUCGGAUCAGGUAGGAAUACCCGCUGAACUUAA